Molecule: ribosomal RNA, 497 nt
Filed under: uncultured bacterium
Lineage: Bacteria
Description: partial 16S ribosomal RNA
Rfam family: Bacterial small subunit ribosomal RNA
Source: RNAcentral
GAUGAACGCUGGCGGCGUGCCUAAUACAUGCAAGUCGAGCGAACGGACGAGAAGCUUGCUUUUCUGAUGUUAGCGGCGGACGGGUGAGUAACACGUGGAUAACCUACCUAUCAGACUGGGAUAACUUCGGGAAACCGGAGCUAAUACCGGAUAAUAUUUUGAACCGCAUGGUUCAAAAGUGAAAGACGGUCUUGCUGUCACUUAUAGAUGGAUCCGCGCUGCAUUAGCUAGUUGGUAAGUUAACGGCUUACCACGGCAACGAUGCAUAGCCGACCGGCGAGGGUGAUCGGCGACACUGGAACUGAGACACGGUCCAGACUCCUACGGGAGGCAGCAGUAGGGAAUCUUCCGCAAUGGGCGAAAGCCUGACGGAGCAACGCCGCGUGAGUGAUGAAGGUCUUCGGAUCGUAAAACUCUGUUAUUAGGGAAGAACAUAUGUGUAAGUAACUGUGCACAUCUUGACGGUACCUAAUAAGAAAGCCACGGCUAACUACGUG